GGGAAGCGACCUCGCGAGAGCAAGCGGACCUCAUAAAGUGCGUCGUAGUCCGGAUUGGAGUCUGCAACUCGACUCCAUGAAGUCGGAAUCGCUAGUAAUCGUGGAUCAGAAUGCCACGGUGAAUACGUUCCCGGGCCUU
Molecule: ribosomal RNA, 139 nt
Filed under: uncultured Enterobacteriaceae bacterium
Lineage: Bacteria; Pseudomonadati; Pseudomonadota; Gammaproteobacteria; Enterobacterales; Enterobacteriaceae
Description: partial 16S ribosomal RNA
Rfam family: Bacterial small subunit ribosomal RNA
Source: RNAcentral